AGCACACAUGCAAGCAUAGUAAGGCCCUAAAAGGCUAACCUAGUUAGCCAAACAUAAUCCCCAUUUUUAAGCUCUCACAACACAUGCACAAGCUUCUCUUUCUUCCCCCCUUGCUCGAUCUCCCUCCUCUCACUCUCCUGCACAAUUAAAAACAUGACAUCCUCAACCAUUACUCCUUCAUUUACUACAAGAUUGGGCAUUAAUGGAAAGAUCACACAUGCACAUGCAAAUCUCUCCCUCUCCCCCCUCAUACUCGGCUCUCUCUCUCUUCUCUUCUCUCCUUCUCUCUUCUCAUUCUCCUGCACCAUUAAGAGGGUGACAUACUCACCAUUUAUCAUCCCAUUUAAUUGCAAGAUACACAUUGAAUGAAGCAAUCUCUCCAUCACAUCAUCUCAUCAAAGCUCAUCAAAGCAAGCUCCCCUCUCUCCUUUUCUACUCCCUUCGGCAGCCCCCUCCCCUCCUCACUCCACCACACUUCUCUCCUUGUUUCACCAUUUUUGGAAAGGAUUAAGGAAGCCAAAAGUGCUACCCUCACACCAAGCUAUUAAGUGUGCUUCAAUCUUCAAGCACAAGCUCCAAGAGGCCGACGCAUCAUCCUCUACUCCACCUCCAUUGAUCUUGUUGGUUCGAGUGACAGCCGGCGUUAGUACGACCCCGAGCGUUGUGUCAUCGACUCCUGAGACAGGUCUGGCUUGGCGCGAGGAUGGGUGAAGGCUGUUGGAAUUGUCAGUUGACCGUGUCCUUCUAUGUCUCAUGCUUAUCUUAUUGCUAUGACUCUAUAAGUUAUUAAACUCCCUGCUAUAUGUCUUCACACAUAUAGUAACGCAUCGCUGCACAACUCUGAUGAAUCUCUUUAUUUAAUUUGCUGUUGCCUGUAAUAUCCCAUAAGGGAAAAUACUCUCAAACUUUGCGAAGUCUCGAAUUAUGUUUUACCAAGCAAGUAAUUUAAUUAAGUCUUAAAG
Molecule: long non-coding RNA, 962 nt
Organism: Salvia miltiorrhiza (redroot sage)
Lineage: Eukaryota; Viridiplantae; Streptophyta; Magnoliopsida; Lamiales; Lamiaceae
Exons: 3
Source: RefSeq, a predicted model, not a curated record